GAUGAACGCUGGCGGCGUGCCUAAUACAUGCAAGUAGAACGCUGAAGGAAGGAGCUUGCUCUUUCCGGAUGAGUUGCGAACGGGUGAGUAACGCGUAGGUAACCUGCCUGGUAGCGGGGGAUAACUAUUGGAAACGAUAGCUAAUACCGCAUAACAGUAGAUGUUGCAUGAUAUCUACUUAAAAGGUGCAAUUGCACCACUACCAGAUGGACCUGCGUUGUAUUAGCUAGUUGGUGAGGUAACGGCUCACCAAGGCGACGAUACAUAGCCGACCUGAGAGGGUGAUCGGCCACACUGGGACUGAGACACGGCCCAGACUCCUACGGGAGGCAGCAGUAGGGAAUCUUCGGCAAUGGACGGAAGUCUGACCGAGCAACGCCGCGUGAGUGAAGAAGGUUUACGGAUCGUAAAGCUCUGUUGUAAGAGAAGAACGAGUGUGAGAGUGGAAAGUUCACACUGUGACGGUAUCUUACCAGAAAGAGACGGCUAACUACGUG
Molecule: ribosomal RNA, 497 nt
Filed under: uncultured bacterium
Lineage: Bacteria
Description: partial 16S ribosomal RNA
Rfam family: Bacterial small subunit ribosomal RNA
Source: RNAcentral